GACGAACGCUGGCGGCGUGCUUAACACAUGCAAGUCGAACGGAAAGGCCCUGCUUUUGUGGGGUGCUCGAGUGGCGAACGGGUGAGUAACACGUGAGUAACCUGCCCUUGACUUUGGGAUAACUUCAGGAAACUGGGGCUAAUACCGGAUAGGAGCUACUGCUGCAUGGUGGGGGUUGGAAAGUUUCGGCGGUUGGGGAUGGACUCGCGGCUUAUCAGCUUGUUGGUGGGGUAGUGGCUUACCAAGGCUUUGACGGGUAGCCGGCCUGAGAGGGUGACCGGCCAGAUAGGCUGGGAGUGAGGGACCGGACAGCUUCGGGCGGGAGGAGUGGGGAGGGUAGAAUAAUGGGCGGAAGACUGAUUCAGCAACGCAUGGUGCGGGAGGGCGGCCUUCGGGUGGUAUACAGAGUUCGCUUGUGACGAAGCGUGAGUAACGGUAAGGGGGAAAGAAGCACCGGCUAACUACGU
RNAcentral lists this ribosomal RNA (467 nucleotides) under uncultured bacterium. RNAcentral's name for it is "partial 16S ribosomal RNA". It matches the Rfam family "Bacterial small subunit ribosomal RNA", at positions 28 to 506 of the family's 1533-position model. The record is from RNAcentral.